This 171-nucleotide ribosomal RNA is filed under the name uncultured Wickerhamomyces. RNAcentral's name for it is "partial 26S ribosomal RNA". It matches the Rfam family "Eukaryotic large subunit ribosomal RNA", at positions 113 to 281 of the family's 3401-position model. Lineage: Eukaryota; Fungi; Ascomycota; Saccharomycetes; Phaffomycetales; Phaffomycetaceae. The record is from RNAcentral.
AUUUGAAAUCUAGCACCUUCGGUGUUCGAGUUGUAAUUUGAAGAUGGUAACCUUGGGUUUGGCUCUUGUCUAUGUUCCUUGGAACAGGACGUCAUAGAGGGUGAGAAUCCCGUCUGAUGAGAUGCCCAUUCCUAUGUAAGGUGCUAUCGAAGAGUCGAGUUGUUUGGGAAU